CGCAAGGGUGAGUAAUACAUGGGUAACGUACCUCUAACUCUGGAACAACCACUGGAAACGGUGGCUAAUACCUGAUAGUUUCGAUCUUCCACAUGAAAGAUUGAAUAAAGUAGGGAUCCCUUCGGAGACCUUCUGGUUAGAGAGCGGCUCAUGCGCUAUCAGCUUGUUGGUGAGGUAAAGGCUCACCAAGGCUAUGACGGCUAGGCGAUCUGAGAGGAUGAUCGCCCACAUCGGGACUGAGACACUGCCCGGACUCC
Molecule: ribosomal RNA, 257 nt
Filed under: uncultured bacterium
Lineage: Bacteria
Description: partial 16S ribosomal RNA
Rfam family: Bacterial small subunit ribosomal RNA
Source: RNAcentral